RNAcentral lists this long non-coding RNA (2279 nucleotides) under Ananas comosus (pineapple). Its description in RNAcentral is "long non-coding RNA (ACOM_LNC043364)". The record is from RNAcentral. Lineage: Eukaryota; Viridiplantae; Streptophyta; Magnoliopsida; Poales; Bromeliaceae.
GUUAAUUAUUAAACAUGUAACGUUUUUAUUAUUUUUUAACUGUUAAAUUUAAUUAGGUAUUGGCUAUCUAUAUAUCUGUAUAAAUUUAUAAAUUUUCAUGUCCUUAAGCUGAUGUGGCCCAACCCCUUUAAGGCUUAGUUUGGUAUUUAGGUCCAUCUAAUGCUAUCUAUCUAUUACUAUAUACUAAAGUAGAACCCCUAAUGAACCCUAUGUGAGAAGCUGACACGUGGCGCUCUAUAUGCUUGCCACGUGUCAAGCUUAAAUAUAGAUUUUCUACUUUAGAAAAAAUAAAAUUAGACUUUUUAAGUAAAUAAUAUCUUUUACUAUAUAAAAAAUCACCUAUAAUGAAAGAAAUUUUAUUUAAAAGUCACCUAUAAUUAUGUUGUGCGGAUAUUACUACUUUAGGAAAUCUAUUCUAUUUGGUAAGUGGAUUAAUGAAAUAUUUGAAAAAUUCACGGAUAUUACGUUGCGAAAAAAUUGGCGUGUACGGAUACUACGCAUGAGAAGAAAAAUAUUUAUCUUUAUUUGAGAAUAAAUUAUUACUUAAUUAAUUAUUUGAAAUUAUUGGUUGAAAAGUAGUGGGCAUAAAAAUAUUAGUAAGAAAGGAUAGAAACAUUUUUUCUAACGUGGCUUUCUAUAUGAUUUCCACAUGUCAUCGUAUCUAUUCUAUUUACUAUAUUAUUAAAUUUAAAUGGUAUGUAGAUUAAUGAGAUAUUUGAAAAAUUCACGGAUAUUACGUUGCGAAAAAAUUGGCGGUAUUACGCGUAAGAAGAAAAAUAUUUGAGAAACGCGUAGAUAGAAAAUAGGAUAUAAAUACGAGGAUAAUAUUGUCACAAAAAAAUAUAUAUUUUUAUUUUCAAUCAUUAGAUAAGAUCUAAUGACAAAAAAUUAAUAUCUUUUACUAUAUUAUUAAAAAUCACCUAUAAUGAAAGAGAUUUUAUUUCAAAGUCACCUAUAAUUAUGUUGAUGGGAUAUUUGAGAAAUUCACGGAUAUUACGUUGCGAAAGAAUUGGUGAGUGCAGAUAUUACGCGUAAGAAGAAAAAUAUUUAUCUUUAUUUGGGAAUAAAUUACUACUUAGUUAAUUAUUUGAAAUGAUUGGUUGAAAAUUUCUGGACAUAAAAAUAUUAGUAAAAAAAGGAUAGAGACAAUUUUAUAAAGAGAAAAAAAAUUCAAAACUCACGCUUUUAUAAAAAAUUAAUAUCUUUUACUACAUUAUUAAAAAUUACCUACAAUGAAGGAAAUUUUAUUUUAAAGUCACCUAUAAUUAUGUUGAGAUAUUUGAGAAAUUUACGGAUAUUAAGUUGCGAAAGAAUUGGCGGGUGCGGAUAUUACGCAUGAGAAGAAAAAUAUUUAUCUUUAUUUAGGAAUAAAUUAUUACUUAGUUAAUUAUUUGAAAUGAUUGGUUGAAAAUUUCUGGACAUAAAAAUAUUAGUAAAAAAGGAUAGAGGCAUUUUUGGAAAGAGGAAAAAAUUUAAAACUCACGUCACUCCUGUAAUUUUCUUAGCUCUUAAAUGUUAAUGUUUUAAAAUAGAACAUAUUAUUUCCCUACUGUCACUUCUGUAAUUUUCAUUUCGUAAUUUUUUUUUCCCUACUGUCACUCCUGUAACUUUCCAUCUUCAUGCAACAAAAUUUUUUUUCUUUAUAUUAUCUUAAAUACCAACAUCUAUAUAUUUUUGAAUCUUAAAAGUGAUAGUAGAGAAAUAAUAUACGUGUGCUUACUCUAAUUUGUGUCAAAUAUGAAAGUUUAGUUAAUCUCAUUAUAUACUUAAAUAUUAAUGUCAUUUGUAAUUUUUCAUAUCAAUUUUAGUUAUCAUUUUAUUUUGCACACCAAUAUGUAAACGAAAAUUAUUUUGCACACCAAUUCAUAGAUAACAGAGCAGGAUUGAAUUUUGCAUUUUAGUUGGAUAUUUACUUUGGUCCAAUUUUUUUUUUUCUCUAGCUUGUGUAUUUUAAUAUGUACUAUAAUUAAGAUUGAUAGUAUAUUUUUUAUUUAUUAAAAAAAUAAAAUUAAUUAAAAAAUCUUUUUAUUAUCAUCACAUAAUAAUUUUUAUUAUUCUAUAUUAUUAUAUUAGCCGUGCAUCGCACGGGUAAAAAUCUAGUUAGAUAAAAUGGAGGUAGGAAAAAGCAUAUAGGGAUAUGCUUCUGCGUUUUUCAGUGGGAACGUAGAAAAUAUAUCAUAACCGACUCAUCAUAAUAUGCGGAAUGCAAUAUUAUGUACGGAAACAAACAGGGUAUUUUCUCAUCGUACUUUCUCACCACACGUAACGCAAUCUCUCCG